UUCCCAGCCUUAAGAUGCUUCUAGGCAGCGU
This 31-nucleotide non-coding RNA is filed under the name Mus musculus (house mouse). Lineage: Eukaryota; Metazoa; Chordata; Mammalia; Rodentia; Muridae. The record is from RNAcentral.